GUGAGGAAUUUUCCGCAAUGGGCGAAAGCCUGACGGAGCAAUGCCGCGUGAAGGAUGAAGGCCUAUGGGUUGUAAACUUCUUUUCUCAGAAAAGAAUUAUGACGGUAUCUGAGGAAUAAGCAUCGGCUAACUCUGUGCCAGCAGCCGCGGUAAGACAGAGGAUGCAAGCGUUAUCCGGAAUGAUUGGGCGUAAAGCGUCUGUAGGUUGUUUAAAAAGUAUUCUGUCAAAGAUUAGGGCUUAACCCUAGAUAGGCAGAAUAAACUUUUAAGCUAGAGUUUGGUAGAGGCAGAGGGAAUUCCCGGUGGAGCGGUGAAAUGCGUAGAUAUCGGGAGGAACACCAAAGGCGAAGGCACUCUGCUGGGCCAAUACUAACACUGAGAGACGAAAGCGAGGGGAGCAAAUGGGAUUAGAAACCCGGUAGUCC
Molecule: ribosomal RNA, 425 nt
Filed under: uncultured bacterium
Lineage: Bacteria
Description: bacterial SSU rRNA
Rfam family: Bacterial small subunit ribosomal RNA
Source: RNAcentral